This is a small nuclear RNA of Pteropus vampyrus (large flying fox), 103 nucleotides long. The record is from Ensembl. NCBI's taxonomy places the organism in Eukaryota, Metazoa, Chordata, Mammalia, Chiroptera, Pteropodidae.
UUGGAGCCACUGCUCUAAAAGUACUCAGUUCACAAUACAGAGAAGAUUAGCAUGGCCUCUAUGCAAAAAUGACAUGGAAAUUUGUGAAUUGUUCCAUAUUUUU